Molecule: ribosomal RNA, 465 nt
Filed under: Vreelandella stevensii
Lineage: Bacteria; Pseudomonadati; Pseudomonadota; Gammaproteobacteria; Oceanospirillales; Halomonadaceae
Description: partial 16S ribosomal RNA
Rfam family: Bacterial small subunit ribosomal RNA
Source: RNAcentral
CCUACGGGAGGCAGCAGUGGGGAAUAGUGGACAAUGGGGGGAACCCUGAUCCAGCCAUGCCGCGUGUGUGAAGAAGGCCCUCGGGUUGUAAAGCACUUUCAGUGAGGAAGAACGCCUGGUGGUUAAUACCCAUCAGGAAAGACAUCACUCACAGAAGAAGCACCGGCUAACUCCGUGCCAGCAGCCGCGGUAAUACGGAGGGUGCGAGCGUUAAUCGGAAUUACUGGGCGUAAAGCGCGCGUAGGUGGCUUGAUAAGCCGGUUGUGAAAGCCCCGGGCUCAACCUGGGAACGGCAUCCGGGACUGUCAAGCUAGAGUGCAGGAGAGGAAGGUAGAAUUCCCGGUGUAGCGGUGAAGUGCGUAGAGAUCGGGAGGAAUACCAGUGGCGAAGGCGGCCUUCUGGACUGACACUGACACUGAGGUGCGAAAGCGUGGGUAGCAAACAGGAUGAGAUACCCGUGUAGUC